AUACGAGGGGUGCAAGCGUUAAUCGGAAUUACUGGGCGUAAAGCGUUCGUAGGCGGUUUGUUAAGCAAGAUGUGAAAGCCCUGGGCUCAACCUGGGAACUGCAUUUUGAACUGGCAAACUAGAAUACUGUAGAGGGUGGUGGAAUUUCCAGUGUAGCGGUGAAAUGCGUAGAGAUUGGAAGGAACAUCAGUGGCGAAGGCGGCCACCUGGACAGAUAUUGACGCUGAGGAACGAAAGCGUGGGGAGCGAACAGGAUUAGAAACCCUAGUAGUCC
This 274-nucleotide ribosomal RNA is filed under the name uncultured bacterium. Its description in RNAcentral is "partial 16S ribosomal RNA". It matches the Rfam family "Bacterial small subunit ribosomal RNA", at positions 523 to 796 of the family's 1533-position model. The record is from RNAcentral.